CGGUUCCGAAUGGUCGAAUCUUGUAUUUACGUCCACUUUGAGAUACGAGAACUGGAUAACCAUUCCAGAACUCGCAGAUGAACGAUGAUGUGCAAUGAAUAAAUUAUUCAAAUAUUAAUUUAUUUUCCGAGGGGAAAAUGGGCAGUGAUCGAGUACAGAUUUUGUAUUGAUAUGAAGAGAUGAAUUGUGAAUUAAAAUAAAGACUAUCAUCAGUUUAAAUAGAGGUCUUCUUUUCAUUCAUUGUUAUAAGAAUGCAUCAACAUUCAUCCAUUAACUCAGCAGUUGGUAUUCUUGAAAAUUAUAUGAUCUUUGAGUUUUGAAACGCUCCUGAACAGAAGAUUUAUGCUCUUUUUCAGUGUACAGUUAGGAUGUCUUCUGAGAUUCAGUUGAAGAUUGAUCUAUUUGGUGAAGAAGAAAGGUAUCUGUACAAGCAAAUUAUGUGCCAUAAAAACUUGAACCUGAGGAAGUUUAAAAUGUCAACAGUUAGUUAUAGAAAAUCAAAAAAUUGUAUAAGAUACAACUAUUUAAAUAUUUUUCAUGUUUUACAAGUUUGAAAUAAUCAUCAGUCAUUUCACCCAAAAUAUAACUUUUAAGGUUCUGUGUAUAAAAUACUGCAUUUUUUCUGCAGUGAUAUUUAAAAAUGCAUUUAAUAAUGCUUGACUAAAUUAGCCUUAUUUUUUAUGACAUUGACUACUGCUACUCAUUGAUGGUUUCUUACAAGGUACAUUUAUAAAUACACACAAAAGAGAAAUAAAAUGCAUGCAGGAUGUGCAGUAAAAUUUUCUUACCCAGGACAUA
Argiope bruennichi is the source of this 798-nucleotide long non-coding RNA. RefSeq lists it as uncharacterized. The record is from RefSeq and is a predicted model, not a curated record. NCBI's taxonomy places the organism in Eukaryota, Metazoa, Arthropoda, Arachnida, Araneae, Araneidae. The transcript has 3 exons.